GAUGAGCGCUAGCGGCAGGCCUAAUACAUGCAAGUCGGACGGGAUUCAGGAGCUUGCUUCUGAUGAGAGUGGCGCACGGGUGCGUAACACGUAUGUAACCUACCUUUAUCAGGGGGAUAGCCUCUCGAAAGAGAGAUUAAGCCCGCAUAAAAUCACAGCACAGCAUUGUGUAAUGAUCAAAUAUUUAUAGGAUAAAGAUGGGCAUGCGGAACAUUAGCUAGAUGGCGGGGUAACGGCCCACCAUGGCGACGAUGUUUAGGGGAUCUGAGAGGAUGGCCCCCCACACUGGUACUGAGACACGGACCAGACUCCUACGGGAGGCAGCAGUAAGGAAUAUUGGUCAAUGGGCGGAAGCCUGAACCAGCCAUGCCGCGUGCAGGAAGACGGCCCUACGGGUUGUAAACUGCUUUUAUACGGGAAUAAACCCAGAUACGUGUAUCUGGCUGAAUGUACUGUAAGAAUAAGGAUCGGCUAACUCCGUG
This 482-nucleotide ribosomal RNA is filed under the name uncultured bacterium. RNAcentral's name for it is "partial 16S ribosomal RNA". It matches the Rfam family "Bacterial small subunit ribosomal RNA", at positions 28 to 507 of the family's 1533-position model. The record is from RNAcentral.